This 253-nucleotide ribosomal RNA is filed under the name uncultured bacterium. Its description in RNAcentral is "partial 16S ribosomal RNA". It matches the Rfam family "Bacterial small subunit ribosomal RNA", at positions 524 to 776 of the family's 1533-position model. The record is from RNAcentral.
UACGUAGGGGGCAAGCGUUGUCCGGAAUCAUUGGGCGUAAAGAGCGUGUAGGCGGUUCGGUAAGUCGGCUGUGAAAGUCCAGGGCUCAACCUGGGAAUUGCAUUCGAGACUGAAUAGCUAGGGUACGGUAGAGGGAAGUGGAAUUUCCGGUGUAGCGGUGAAAUGCGUAGAUAUCGGAAGGAACAUCAGUGGCGAAAGCGACUUCCUGGACCAGUACCGACGUUCAGGCACGAAAGCGUGGGGAGCAAACAGG